UUAUUAAUUUUGGUUAGUUUUUAUAUUGACCCGACUUAGAACCGAUAAAAUUUUUU
Molecule: small RNA, 56 nt
Filed under: Arabidopsis thaliana (thale cress)
Lineage: Eukaryota; Viridiplantae; Streptophyta; Magnoliopsida; Brassicales; Brassicaceae
Description: ATSL284930
Source: RNAcentral